This is a long non-coding RNA of Drosophila serrata, 319 nucleotides long. The record is from RefSeq and is a predicted model, not a curated record. Lineage: Eukaryota; Metazoa; Arthropoda; Insecta; Diptera; Drosophilidae.
CAUGGUUCGGUUGGAAAACCACGCAGCUCCAAGGAAAACGCGCUUCGCGGUUUCGUGUGUGGAUGUGUGUUCGCUGUCGCCGUUGGGAUCUUCAGCGACAAGCAAGCAAUGACUUGGCAAGUCACUGCAGGAAGGAAGGAUGGAAGGAUGGAGGACACUAUCUGGUGCUGUGAAUUAUGAUCCUGGCGGGGAGACCGCAAGACCCGCAGAGACCCAUAACAAUAAACGGCCCAGACCUUCGGAGCCUUCGAUUGACGAUCAUUUUUAAUUUCGCACUCAACAAAGGCCCCAGAAAAAUCGGUCAAUGAAUCCUCCAGCA